CCUCGAUGGAACCAUGAGGCCUAUGAUCAUGGUUCAAAAUAGGAAUUGAUCGGUCAUACUUCGGGUAAAACAAACCGGAUCUGGGGUUGAAAGCGGGUCUAUUGUUUAAAGCAUUAGGGUUUGCAAUUGAACAAAUUAGGUGAACUGAACGGGGGUUUGAAUUGAAAAUGGGGGGCUGGGGGAGACAAUUAGGGUUUAAAACAUGAUGAACUGGGUAAAUUGAAUGGGGAUUAGGAUUGAAAAUUGGGCGAUUGGGGAUGAACUCUCACAAUUCUUCUCGUAUUAAGACCUCAGCUCACUAUCCUCCGCAAAAACUGAGCCGAUUUGAUCAUUAGGUGGGAUGUCGUUGGUCCAUGGACUCCCCAGAUUCGGGCAGCAUGUUUUCGAGUUGUUAACCGUAAAAUGUUAGAUUUAACAGAAUGAGGUGCCAUUCAAUACAAAGAUAAUGUUAGUGACUGAGAAAAGGCCCGCUUAAGUUUACCACCGGUAAGUUUGGAAACAAGUAUAAUAGUUGAGUGAUAAAAAAUUGAUUUUCCUUACAUAUAUAAACUAUUUUUUAGAAAUUAAGCCUUGAUUAAUGGACUUUUUGGGUCUCCUAACAACCCAGUUACGUUGUUUCUGCGAGUAAACUCAAGCUUACCGGCGUAUCCGCUAUUUUUGCAGAAUAUUUUUCCUGCCAGGAUAUUACUUCCUCUGUUUUCAAAUACUUGACGCUUUGAUUUUUUGGCACACAUUUUCAAGAGUUUUGUCUGCAUACUUAAAAUUAUGAUUUUUAAUUUUCUUUUGAAUAAAAAUAUUAAAUUUAUACUUUAAUUCACAAAAAAAUUAAAAAUAUUAACUCUAAUUAUGCGGUCAAUGCACUUAAAAAUACUAUGUGCCUGGAGUCAAACGUCAAGUAUUUGAAAACAGGGGUAUAUUUGAGUUGAGAUUUGAAGACAUAUUUUUAUAUUAUUUUAAAAUAAUCGAUCUACAUAUUAGUCCAGUUAAAUACCCUCUCUUUACUAUAUUUCUCCUUCUUAUUUUUUUGUCAAUUUUAUUUUAAAACUUUGUUCAUAGGACUUAAAUAAUAUCUCCUUUGUACAAUUAAUAGUAAAUUCAUUAAACUUUAAAAAUAAUUAUAAUUGCACUCAUUACAAAACCAAGUUGAAAAGAACUUACAUGAAUAUUGACUAGAUCUCCAAGCUUAUGUUUCCAUGUUACAACUUGUGUUUUUGACGAAUCAGUAAACUAAACUACUAUACAUGAUCAGCUAUUCUAGGACAUAUCAAGCUUCGUCUAGUAUCUUCGUUUCCUCUGCAGUGCCAUCAUGAAUCUCUUCCUCUUCCACAUCUUCCGCAUCUAUCAUUUAGCCUUAUGUUCAUAUGUGCAAUGAUCAACCAACAUUUCCCAGCCAAUCUUCUCGGCUAUUUUUUUUUGUAGAUUUUCCAUAUAUCAGAUACUCUAAAAUAUUUUUAUUCUUAUUUAAUUUGGUCGGUUACUUUUCUGCAACUCUCCUGCCCAUUGUUACAUAUACCCUAUAACCUGAAUUACUUUACAUCCAACUCAGGAUUUCAGCAAUUUCAGUUUUCAAAACCAUAAUCCAGAGAUUUACCAGCAAGAGAUUCAGAGAAGCAAUCAACAUGACGACUGAAAUGUGGACGAGUUUUGGGUCUCUGCUUGCUAGCUUGAUGUUUAUAUUUGCAAUGAUCAACCAACACUUCUCGGGCAAUCUUCUCGGCUAUUUUCUGCAGCAGCUCAUCCAGAAAUCUUUGUCGUAUUUCAACCCGUACAUCGAGAUCACGUUCCAUGAGUAUUCCCGGGACAGCUUACGUCUCGAUUGAGCGUUAUCUGGCUGUCAAAUCUUCGGCCACGGCCACGAGACUCAAGGCCAACUCGGUCCGAGACAGCGAACGCCUGGUGCUCAGCAUGGACGACUACGAAGAGAUCGUGGACGAAUAUCAAGGGAUCAACUUCCUCAUAGCCGCCACCACCACCGCCCUUGUUCCCCUUCUUUUUCAUAUUUUUCGGUUUCGUCCCCUGAACACCAAGUGAGAGCCUAAUCAGCUUACUAUUCAAAUUACCAUGUCUCACACUCUCCGCGUUACUUUGUAAAUAUGGUUGCACAUUCGACACACGACCCGAAUAACCAGAACCAUUUGAAUCAUAACCCUCGAUGGAACCAUGAGGCCUAUGAUCAUGGUUCAAAAUAGGAAUUGAUCGGUCAUACUUCGGGUAAAACAAACCGGAUCUGGGGUUGAAAGCGGGUCUAUUGUUUAAAGCAUUAGGGUUUGCAAUUGAACAAAUUAGGUGAACUGAACGGGGGUUUGAAUUGAAAAUGGGGGGCUGGGGGAGACAAUUAGGGUUUAAAACAUGAUGAACUGGGUAAAUUGAAUGGGGAUUAGGAUUGAAAAUUGGGCGAUUGGGGAUGAAAUUAGGGUUUAUAAUUUGGGGAUUU
Molecule: long non-coding RNA, 2434 nt
Filed under: Daucus carota (carrot)
Lineage: Eukaryota; Viridiplantae; Streptophyta; Magnoliopsida; Apiales; Apiaceae
Description: long non-coding RNA (DCAR_LNC003184)
Source: RNAcentral